Molecule: ribosomal RNA, 1394 nt
Filed under: uncultured bacterium
Lineage: Bacteria
Description: partial 16S ribosomal RNA
Rfam family: Bacterial small subunit ribosomal RNA
Source: RNAcentral
AGUCUGACCCUGCUUCAGGAUGAAAGCUGGCGGCCUGCUUAGCUCCUGCACUUCAAACUACGAAUUUGACAUGAAACUUCCGUGGAUUUUGCAAUUCCAAGUGGGGGACCGGUGAGAAACUCGUGGCCACCCUCGCCCUGUCCCGGGGGACAACACCUGAAAACGGCUGCUAAUACCCCGUAGUGCCUCGGGAUCGAAUGAUCCCGCGUGAAAAACUCCGGUGGCACUGGAUGGGCCCCCGUCGGAUUACGUAGUUGGCGGGGUAACUGCCUACCUCGCCCACCAUCCAUAGACAACCUGAUAGGGUGACCGGCCACCUUGGGACUGAUACACCGCCCACACUCCUACCGCAGGCAGCAGUGUGGAAUAUAGCACAAUGGGGGAAACCCUGAUGCAACUACGCCUCUCGAGCGAAUAAGUAUUAUCACGAUGUAAAGCUCUAUCUGCACGGAAGGACAUGACAGUGCCUGACUAAGAAGCCCCGCGCUAACUACUGUGCCAUUCAUCCAUCGGCAACUACCACCGGGGCAAGCGUCAUCCAGAUUUACUGUCUGUAAAGAGAGCGUAAACCGCAACGCAACUCUGAUGAGAACGGCUGGGGCUCCACCCCAGCACUGUAUUGCACACUGUCCUGCUGAAGUGCCGGAUAGGUAAACGCAAUUCCUACUGUCUCGCUGAAAUACGUAUGUAUUAUGAUGAACACCAAUGCCGAAGGCUGCUUACUGGACGGUAACUGACGUUCACGCUCNNNNNCNUNGCCCUCUAAAGGGGUUNNNUNCCCUNNUNNUCCNCNCNNUNNNCNGCUUUAAAGGAGGUGUUGGGUGUCACAGACAUUCGGUGCCGCAGCAAACGCAAUAAGUAUUCCACCUGGGGAGGACGUUCGCAAGAAUGAAACUCAAAAGGAAUUGACGGGGACCCGCACAAGCGGUGGAGCAUGUGGUUUAAUUCGAAGCAACGCGAAGAACCUUACCAAGUCUUGACAUCCCCCUGAUAGAGUAUGUAAUGUACUUUUCCUUCGGGACAGGGGAGACAGGCGGUGCAUGGUUGUCGUCAGCUCGUGUCGUGAGAUGUUGGGUUAAGUCCCGCAACGAGCGCAACCCUUAUCCCCAGUAGCCAGCAAGAAAGAUGGGCACUCUGAGGAGACUGCCAGGGAUAACCUGGAGGAAGGUGGGGAUGACGUCAAAUCAUCAUGCCCCUUAUGACUUGGGCUACACACGUGCUACAAUGGCGUAAACAAAGGGAAGCGAGGGAGCGAUCCGGAGCAAAUCCCAAAAAUAACGUCCCAGUUCGGAUUGUAGUCUGCAACUCGACUACAUGAAGCUGGAAUCGCUAGUAAUCGCGAAUCAGAAUGUCGCGGUGAAUACGUUCCCGGGUCUUGCACACACCGCCCGUCA